Molecule: ribosomal RNA, 253 nt
Filed under: uncultured bacterium
Lineage: Bacteria
Description: partial 16S ribosomal RNA
Rfam family: Bacterial small subunit ribosomal RNA
Source: RNAcentral
UACAGAGGGUGCGAGCGUUGUCCGGAAUCACUGGGCGUAAAGGGCGCGUAGGCGGCUUGAUAAGGUUGCGGUGAAAGCCCGGGGCUCAACCCCGGGUCGGCCGUGGCAACUGUCGAGCUGGAGCACUGUAGAGGCAGGUGGAAUUCCGGGUGUAGCGGUGGAAUGCGUAGAUAUCGGGAGGAACACCUGUGGCGAAGGCGGCUUUCUGGGCCCUACCUGACGCUGAGACGCGAAAGCGUGGGGAGCGAACCGG